This 497-nucleotide ribosomal RNA is filed under the name uncultured bacterium. RNAcentral describes it as "partial 16S ribosomal RNA". It matches the Rfam family "Bacterial small subunit ribosomal RNA", at positions 28 to 507 of the family's 1533-position model. The record is from RNAcentral.
GAUGAACGCUGGCGGCGUGCCUAAUACAUGCAAGUCGAGCGAACAGAUGAGGAGCUUGCUCCUCUGACGUUAGCGGCGGACGGGUGAGUAACACGUGGAUAACCUACCUAUAAGACUGGGAUAACUUCGGGAAACCGGAGCUAAUACCGGAUAAUAUAUUGAACCGCAUGGUUCAAUAGUGAAAGACGGUUUUGCUGUCACUUAUAGAUGGAUCCGCGCCGCAUUAGCUAGUUGGUAAGGUAACGGCUUACCAAGGCAACGAUGCGUAGCCGACCUGAGAGGGUGAUCGGCCACACUGGGACUGAGACACAGUCCAGACUCCUACGGGAGGCAGCAGUAGGGAAUCUUCCGCAAUGGGCGAAAGCCUGACGGAGCAACGCCGCGUGAGUGAUGAAGGUCUUCGGAUCGUAAAACUCUGUUAUUAGGGAAGAACAAAUGUGUAAGUAACUAUGCACGUCUUGACGGUACCUAAUCAGAAAGCCACGGCUAACUACGUG